This 428-nucleotide ribosomal RNA is filed under the name bacterium. RNAcentral describes it as "partial 16S ribosomal RNA". It matches the Rfam family "Bacterial small subunit ribosomal RNA", at positions 355 to 776 of the family's 1533-position model. The record is from RNAcentral.
UCGAGAAUUUUUGACAAUGGGGGAAACCCUGAUCGAGCGACGCCGCGUGGAGGAUGAAGGUCUUCGGAUUGUAAACUCCUGUCAUUGGGGAACAAUGCACAGAUAUUAACUGUAUUUGUGUUGAUAGUACCCGAAGAGGAAGGGACGGCUAACUCUGUGCCAGCAGCCGCGGUAAUACAGAGGUCUCAAGCGUUGUUCGGAUUCAUUGGGCGUAAAGGGUGCGUAGGCGGCGCGGUAAGUCGGGUGUGAAAUCUCGGAGCUUAACUCCGAAACUGCAUUAGAUACUGCCGUGCUUGAGGACUGGAGAGGAGACUGGAAUUUACGGUGUAGCGGUGAAAUGCGUAGAUAUCGUAAGGAAGCCCAGUGGCGAAGGCGGGUCUCUGGACAGUUCCUGACGCUGAGGCACGAAGGUCAGGGGAGCAAACGGG